RNAcentral lists this ribosomal RNA (522 nucleotides) under uncultured Glomeromycotina. Its description in RNAcentral is "SSU rRNA". It matches the Rfam family "Eukaryotic small subunit ribosomal RNA", at positions 569 to 1092 of the family's 1831-position model. The record is from RNAcentral. Lineage: Eukaryota; Fungi; Glomeromycota.
AGCAUCCGCGGUAAUUCCAGCUCCAAUAGCGCAUAUUAAAGUUGUUGCAGUUAAAAAGCUUGUAGUUGAAUUUCGGGGUUAGUAGGUUGGUCAUGCCUCUGGUAUGUACUGGUCUCACUGAUUCCUCCUUCCUGAUGAGCCGUAAUGCCAUUAAUUUGGUGUUGCGGGGAAUUUGGACUGUUACUUUGAAAAAAUUAGAGUGUUUAAAGCAAGCUAACGCUUGAAUACAUUAGCAUGGAAUAAUGAAAUAGGACGUUCGAUCCUAUUUUGUUGGUUUCUAGGAUUGACGUAAUGAUUAAUAGGGAUAGUUGGGGGCAUUAGUAUUCAAUUGUCAGAGGUGAAAUUCUUGGAUUUAUUGAAGACUAACUACUGCGAAAGCAUUUGCCAAGGAUGUUUUCAUUAAUCAAGAACGAAAGUUAGGGGAUCGAAGACGAUCAGAUACCGUCGUAGUCUUAACCAUAAACUAUGCCGACUAGGGAUCGGAUGAUGUUAAUUUUUUAAUGACUCAUUCGGCGCCUUACG